GGUGGUGUACACCUGUAAUCCCAGUGUCAGCAGCCACAUAGUAAAUUCAGAACCAGCAUUGGUCACCUGAUAUCCUAUCUGGAGAAGCAGAACAAGAAAUGGUCAAAAGGACUGCGGAAUGGUUCCAGAUAACCUGAUGCAUGAAGACUCAAAACCAAUUCAGUUUAUAUUUUCCAGGCCAGUCAGGACUGGAUUGCAAAAAAAACCCAACUUAAACAAAAAGCAAAAAAUCCCUAAACUCAAAGUGACUGGAUCUCAAGUAAAUCAAGAUGUUAGUGCCUCUGUGGUUUUUCUUUGUCCGUUGGGUGGUGGUGUUUUGCUUUUCAGAUAGAGCCUCACUAUGUGUAGACCCUCCAAGGCUGUAGUCUGUGUUGAUCUCAUUCAGCUAUAUUCAGACAGUCCUCAGCAAGUGCGAGGGUCCCAGGCACGUGCUACCAUGUCUGCCUGUGGGAUGGUUUUCUUUUUGUUUUGUUUGUUUUUGUUUUUCGAGACAGGGUUUCUCUGUGUAUGUAGUCUUGGCCGCCCUGGAACAAGUUUUUGUUUCCAGAAUGCUAGGAUUAAAGGUGUGCACCACCCACUGCCCAGCUCUGGGGUGGUUCUGGAAUUUUCAACAAUCCUGAAUAUGGGUAAAGUGUAGUAAAUGCAUGUGUGUGUUUAUAGAUUACAAACCCAGCCAUCCUCCUCAGCCUCCUGUUUGUAAUUGGUUGGUACUUCAGAGCCAUCGGCUUUGCCGUGUGCUUUCAGCAUAGUUCAGACUGACCCGAAUGGCCUUGUUGAACUCAUCAGUGUUCAGACAUAAGCCAAUGGGCCAUGAAUAGCAAGACUUGGAUCUGCUGAAAGAAAUACAUGCACAAGGACCCAGGUUCAGUCCCCAGCAACCUCCCACAGAGGAAGCAGAAUUAUUAGACUUUGUAAGACUGGAGUCGAAUAAAGCAAAAUAUAGCAAAUCAAAGCAUCUGGGUUUUGUGUACUGAGUAUGUUUUGCCGUGGUCUUUGUACUCUGAAGUUUGUUUUCCUUCUGGGUUGAGAGUGCUACUCAGCUCAUUACUGAAGUGAGUCAUCCUGAGUUCAGCUCCUACUAUCAGAAAAAAGAGACGAUGAUAUUUAAUGGUCUCUUUUUAAGUUAUCAAUAAAGCCAUAAAUCAAGAAGUAGUGGGGGGGGUGGCCACAGUGGUUAUUGAUCUUACCUGAGGAUUUAAAAAUUCCUAUUAGGCCAUCAAGUUGAUGAGUUGAUCAUAAUUAUUGUUAACCUAGACAGGAAGGGUACUCUGGCUUACCCAGAGUGAGGAUGGAAGAAACUAUCUUGGGAGUUUGCUUCUAUAUUUUUUGUUUCUAAAGAACCAAAGGUCCAUGUUUAAAACUACCAACCAACCAUCCUCGAUGGUGCAUGCCUUUAAUUCAGUACUUGGGAGGCGGAGGCAGGCAGAUCUCUGUGAGUUCAAGGUCUGGUCUAUAGAAUUCUAGGUCAGGGCUAUGUAGUGCGACCUUGUCUCAAAAAGCCAACCAACCAAACAAAAAUAAAACAAAACCUCACAUCAAUCAUAAAAAUGCAGUUAAUGACGUUUCUCUUACUAAUGGGUCCUUUUAGGCUGCUCUCUGGUCAGUUUUUGUCUUACUCGUUGUGACUUUUUGCUUUGUCUUGUGGAAUCAGAGCUAACUUAAAACUCUCCACCAUCCUGCCUGUGUCGGCCAAGUGCACCACCUGCUAAGCUUCUUAGUCACUUGUUGUGCUUGUUUGAAAUUGAAGGCGUGUUAGGAUAAGGCCGGUCUGUCUUUGGUGC
Molecule: long non-coding RNA, 1781 nt
Filed under: Rattus norvegicus (Norway rat)
Lineage: Eukaryota; Metazoa; Chordata; Mammalia; Rodentia; Muridae
Description: long non-coding RNA NONRATT023459
Source: RNAcentral